UAGGGAAUCUUCGGCAAUGGACGGAAGUCUGACCGAGCAACGCCGCGUGAGUGAAGAAGGUUUUCGGAUCGUAAAGCUCUGUUGUAAGAGAAGAACGAGUGUGAGAGUGGAAAGUUCACACUGUGACGGUAUCUUACCAGAAAGGGACGGCUAACUACGUGCCAGCAGCCGCGGUAAUACGUAGGUCCCGAGCGUUAUCCGGAUUUAUUGGGCGUAAAGCGAGCGCAGGCGGUUAGAUAAGUCUGAAGUUAAAGGCUGUGGCUUAACCAUAGUACGCUUUGGAAACUGUUUAACUUGAGUGCAAGAGGGGAGAGUGGAAUUCCAUGUGUAGCGGUGAAAUGCGUAGAUAUAUGGAGGAACACCGGUGGCGAAAGCGGCUCUCUGGCUUGUAACUGACGCUGAGGCUCGAAAGCGUGGGGAGCAAACAGGAUUAGAUACCCUGGUAGUCCACGCCGUAAACGAUGAGUGCUAGGUGUUGGGUCCUUUCCGGGACUCAGUGCCGCAGCUAACGCAUUAAGCACUCCGCCUGGGGAGUACGACCGCAAGGUU
RNAcentral lists this ribosomal RNA (549 nucleotides) under uncultured bacterium. RNAcentral describes it as "bacterial SSU rRNA". It matches the Rfam family "Bacterial small subunit ribosomal RNA", at positions 355 to 895 of the family's 1533-position model. The record is from RNAcentral.